CAGGGAAGGUUUUCUGAUGGACAAUGUCAUGUUGAAAAUUAGGGGGGAAAGGGAUAACAAAUUGUGCAUUGAAUAUGUAGGAAAACAACUUGGGAUGCUCACACUGGUUGCAUCUACAAGAACAUGUUCAUUGAUGAAAGAGCAUUCUCCAGGGCCCGAAAUGUGCGGUUUCUAUUCCAGAAUGAUGUGAAUUUGUACCUGAUUCUUCCUGAGAAAUCAAGCCAGAUCCAUGUACUUUACAUUCAACUGUUUGGAGAAUACAUUGGAGUGGAAGCACAGAUGCCAUAAGGAGAUGUACAUACGCCCAUGGUGCAGGAAAGACCUCUCCAGAGCACAAGAAUAACUUUGGUGAACAAUCUGGAAGUACAAGAGACAGAUGGAAUGUUUCAGCAUAAGAAACAUGAAUCAUCAUGAGGAAGAGUCAAUUCUGAUGAGUAUGAAAUACUGUAUAAGCAAUUGUAAUAUCAGGAAUUAAUACUUCAUCAUGAGGAAGUUCAAAUAUAGCUUGUAGAAGGCCACUAUCUUGAGUUAUUGGCAGGUAUUGCUUGCUUAGCAUCAUCGUUCUCUCGGACUCGAUUCCAACACAUUGGUCAAACAGACUGGAGAAAGAGGGGAAAAAGGAAAAUAAGAAGAUUGCUUAUCAUCAGGUCGAACCAAGUAGCUCCUGCUUCGUCUUCACCGAGAACGGCUACAGUUACAGAUCCAAUAACUUUGCACUUGCACACUGUGUCCCAGUCGUACAUUGUUAUGGUUACCUAUAUACAGAAGAGUAUAUCAGGCAGGCAACCAAAGUUCGGCAUCAAAUGUUAAAAGGAGCUCAUCUUUUGAACGGUUUCAUUGAGCAGUGCAAAACUGCAAAUGUCACAUUAGAGAAGCUAGCUGAUGCUGCACGUGCAAGCUGGUCGCCAAUUAUGCUGUGUUAUUUGGACCACCAUUUUUCUGACGGGAAGAAAUCUGCCACAUGAUUAUGACAAAGCAAAGUGACUUUGAGAAUUUUACCAUGCGACUUUCUGCUACAAUUCUGAAAGCUCAGCUGCAAGCCAGGCAGCCAGCAAUAUAUACCGCUUGGCCGAAGGAUCCAAAUAUCUAAUCAGCAAGGAUGAAAAGUAGUACUAGUACAAUAGUGCAAAAGUAUAGCUUUGUAUCAGGGACCAAGGCUGGCAUACACCCUGUGCCGUUUUUCACAUAGCAUUUGUCUAAUCUGAAUCCAUCACACUCAUACGUUUUUGCUUUUCUCGCACGCUUAAGAUGAGAAAAACAGACUGGAUUAAAGCUGGAUUAACUAUUUUAUCUUUUUGGGGGCAACCUGAGACACUAUGAUUAGAGUUUCUUGGUGUAUAAUGGAAUUGUAAUGAUGGACACUGCAUCACCUUUUCA
Oryza sativa Japonica Group (Japanese rice) is the source of this 1377-nucleotide long non-coding RNA. RefSeq lists it as uncharacterized. The record is from RefSeq and is a predicted model, not a curated record. Lineage: Eukaryota; Viridiplantae; Streptophyta; Magnoliopsida; Poales; Poaceae.